GAUUUCUGGCUUGGUGCGCCUGGCCCAUACCCUUCAAGGUGUGAGUGCCGGUGCGCGCCUGCCAUCCCUUCUAGAAAAGCUGGGGGAGUUCUGCCCUUCAGUGGGCCGGGAUUCUCCUAUAGUUGAUCUAGAUCUUUUACUUUGAAAAAAUUAGAGUGUUUAAAGCAGGCUUGCGCUAUGAAUACAUUAGCAUGGAAUAAUAAUUUAGGACUUUGUUUCUAUUUUGUUGGUUUCUAGGAAUGAAGUAAUGAUUGAUAGGGACAGUUGGGGGUGCUAGUAUUCAUCGGCCAGAGGUGAAAUUCUUGGAUUCGAUGAAGACUAACUUAUGCGAAAGCAUU
Molecule: ribosomal RNA, 338 nt
Filed under: uncultured Tremula
Lineage: Eukaryota; Cercozoa
Description: SSU rRNA
Rfam family: Eukaryotic small subunit ribosomal RNA (bases 128-338)
Source: RNAcentral